Molecule: ribosomal RNA, 614 nt
Filed under: uncultured bacterium
Lineage: Bacteria
Description: bacterial SSU rRNA
Rfam family: Bacterial small subunit ribosomal RNA
Source: RNAcentral
CGCAUUAGCUAGUUGGUGGGGUAAAGGCUUACCAAGGCAAUGAUGCGUAGCCGAACUGAGAGGUUGAUCGGCCACAUUGGGACUGAGACACGGCCCAAACUCCUACGGGAGGCAGCAGUAGGGAAUCUUCCACAAUGGGCGAAAGCCUGAUGGAGCAACGCCGCGUGGGUGAAGAAGGUCUUCGGAUCGUAAAACCCUGUUGUUAGAGAAGAAAGUGCGUGAGAGUAACUGUUCACGUUUCGACGGUAUCUAACCAGAAAGCCACGGCUAACUACGUGCCAGCAGCCGCGGUAAUACGUAGGUGGCAAGCGUUAUCCGGAUUUAUUGGGCGUAAAGGGAACGCAGGCGGUCUUUUAAGUCUGAUGUGAAAGCCUUCGGCUUAACCGGAGUAGUGCAUUGGAAACUGGGAGACUUGAGUGCAGAAGAGGAGAGUGGAACUCCAUGUGUAGCGGUGAAAUGCGUAGAUAUAUGGAAGAACACCAGUGGCGAAAGCGGCUCUCUGGUCUGUAACUGACGCUGAGGUUCGAAAGCGUGGGUAGCAAACAGGAUUAGAUACCCUGGUAGUCCACGCCGUAAACGAUGAAUGCUAAGUGUUGGAGGGUUUCCGCCCUUCA